RNAcentral lists this transfer RNA (71 nucleotides) under Stegodyphus mimosarum. It matches the Rfam family "tRNA". From Rfam's summary of the family: Transfer RNA (tRNA) molecules are approximately 80 nucleotides in length. Their secondary structure includes four short double-helical elements and three loops (D, anti-codon, and T loops). Further hydrogen bonds mediate the characteristic L-shaped molecular structure. tRNAs have two regions of fundamental functional importance: the anti-codon, which is responsible for specific mRNA codon recognition, and the 3' end, to which the tRNAs corresponding amino acid is attached (by aminoacyl-tRNA synthetases). tRNAs cope with the degeneracy of the genetic code in two manners: having more than one tRNA (with a specific anti-codon) for a particular amino acid; and 'wobble' base-pairing, i.e. permitting non-standard base-pairing at the 3rd anti-codon position. The record is from Rfam by way of RNAcentral. Lineage: Eukaryota; Metazoa; Arthropoda; Arachnida; Araneae; Eresidae.
GCCUUCGUAGUUUAACGGUAGCACACUCGGCCCGUAUUCGAGAGGUCCAGGUUCGAGUCCCGGCCAGGGCA